UACAGAGGGUGCGAGCGUUAAUCGGAAUUACUGGGCGUAAAGCGCGCGUAGGUGGAUAUUUAAGUCGACUGUGAAAGCCCUGGGCUUAACCUGGGAACGGCACUCGAUACUGGAUAUCUAGAGUAUAGUAGAGGGAAGUGGAAUUUCUGGUGUAGCGGUGAAAUGCGUAGAUAUCGGAAGGAACACCAGUGGCGAAGGCGGCUUCCUGGACUAAUACUGACACUGAGGCGCGAAAGCGUGGGGAGCAAACAGG
This 253-nucleotide ribosomal RNA is filed under the name uncultured bacterium. RNAcentral describes it as "partial 16S ribosomal RNA". It matches the Rfam family "Bacterial small subunit ribosomal RNA", at positions 524 to 776 of the family's 1533-position model. The record is from RNAcentral.